This is an RNA transcript of Solanum lycopersicum (tomato), 492 nucleotides long. It is a transcript of the gene named H/ACA ribonucleoprotein complex subunit 2-like protein, with no coding region annotated. Lineage: Eukaryota; Viridiplantae; Streptophyta; Magnoliopsida; Solanales; Solanaceae. The record is from RefSeq and is a predicted model, not a curated record.
GCAGCAUACAUCAAUUCAUGAUAAAAUCUGUUCAACUAAGCCGAAUAUUCAAAAACACCCCUUAUGGAACCCAUAAAAGCCCCACUUGAAUUUUUUUUUGACUUGGCCUUAAACCCUAGUGGUUUAUCAAAUUCCAAUUUCUCCCCAAUUCGUUAAACCCUAGGCCGACGUUCAAGAGAGAGAUGGGUGGUAGUGAUAGCGAAGUAGAGAAAACGGCACAAAAAGAUACGGAGAGAAAGAAGCUAUUGGCUGUCGCCCCUAUUGCUAAACCACUCGCUGGAAAAAAAAAACUCAGCAAACGAACCUUCAAACUCGAUAGACGAGUUACGGAACAUAAAUGCUUGAAGAGAGGAGUUAAAGAAGUAGUGAAAAGUAUUCGACGCGAUUGUGUGUCAUAGCUGGAAACAUUUCUCCUAUCGAUGUCAUUACUCACGUUCCACCUCCUAUGUGAGGAAGCUGAUAUGCCAUACGUUUAUGUUCCUUCAAAAGAAG